GGGUGGUAAACUCCAUCUAAGGCUAAAUACGACCACGAGACCGAUAGCGAACAAGUACCGUGAGGGAAGGUUGAAAAGAACUUUGAAGAGAGAGUUCAAGAGUACGUGAAACCGUUCAGGGGUAUAUCUAAGAAACCCAAAAGAUCGAACGGGGAGAUUCAUCGUCAGCGGCGUUGGCUUCGCGUUGGUGGGCGAGCUCGCGGGCACGCUACCGUGUGCGCACGUCCGACGUCGUCGUCUUGCACUUCUCCCCUAGUAGGACGUCGCGUCUCGCUGGGUGUCGGUCUACGGCCCGAGUGCGGUGUCUGUUGCGUCGCCGGUAAAACGGCACACGGCAAACCAUCGGUCGCCCGGCGGUACUCGCAAGGUAUCAAGUCGCGAAGUACUCUUCGCGUCAAGCCUGUCGCAAGCGCGCUCCACGGCACACGGAGGUACGGACCCAGCGCCGCCCCCGGUCCUGGUCCGCUGUUGGUAGAACGGUGACCCUUUGACAGGCCUUAACCGGGAGCGGGCGGUGCCUCGCGCGCCGCUCCUCUCGAUACCGGUCGGCGACGC
This 555-nucleotide ribosomal RNA is filed under the name Mystrium sp. MG01. RNAcentral's name for it is "eukaryotic LSU rRNA". It matches the Rfam family "Eukaryotic large subunit ribosomal RNA", at positions 294 to 628 of the family's 3401-position model. The record is from RNAcentral. Lineage: Eukaryota; Metazoa; Arthropoda; Insecta; Hymenoptera; Formicidae.